GACGAACGCUGGCGGCGUGCUUAACACAUGCAAGUCGAACGAAGAGCGAUGGAAGCUUGCUUCUAUCAAUCUUAGUGGCGAACGGGUGAGUAACGCGUAAUCAACCUGCCCUUCAGAGGGGGACAACAGUUGGAAACGACUGCUAAUACCGCAUACGAUCUAAUCUCGGCAUCGAGGAUAGAUGAAAGGUGGCCUCUACAUGUAAGCUAUCACUGAAGGAGGGGAUUGCGUCUGAUUAGCUAGUUGGAGGGGUAACGGCCCACCAAGGCGAUGAUCAGUAGCCGGUCUGAGAGGAUGAACGGCCACAUUGGGACUGAGACACGGCCCAGACUCCUACGGGAGGCAGCAGUGGGGAAUCUUCCGCAAUGGACGAAAGUCUGACGGAGCAACGCCGCGUGAGCGAUGACGGCCUUCGGGUUGUAAAGCUCUGAUAAUCGGGACGAAAGGCCUUCUUGCGAAUAGUGAGAAGGAUUGACGGUACCGGAAUAGAAAGCCACGGCUAACUACGUG
RNAcentral lists this ribosomal RNA (510 nucleotides) under uncultured bacterium. Its description in RNAcentral is "partial 16S ribosomal RNA". It matches the Rfam family "Bacterial small subunit ribosomal RNA", at positions 28 to 507 of the family's 1533-position model. The record is from RNAcentral.